Molecule: long non-coding RNA, 932 nt
Filed under: Fukomys damarensis (Damara mole-rat)
Lineage: Eukaryota; Metazoa; Chordata; Mammalia; Rodentia; Bathyergidae
Description: lncRNA (ENSFDAG00000029996.1)
Source: RNAcentral
UCCGGAAAAUAAUUUUCAAAGUUGCAACUUUCCUUGCCUUCCCAUGAUGCUUCCCGGUGCUCUUUCUGAAGAAUGUUUGCACGCAGGCCCCACACAGAUUUCCCUCUUCGCUUUCUCAAGUGCAAAUGGGUUGAUAAAGAUACAGGGUUUGUCACUGUUGAGGCACCUGGGAGUCAGGUGAAGCGUCUUUCCAGACUGACCUGCAGCUGGGCUCCUCCAAGUCCGUCUCCCAGAAUGGAGAGCGCUCCUGCCGAGCAUUUCCGUGAGUGGUCUGCUGGUCUUCACGUGGAGCGAAACUGCAAGAGGAAAGUGGGAAGAGGCCCGACCACAGCCCUGUGGUGAGCUCAGAGGCCCUGUCUCGGGUGCACCAGCUGUUCUGAUCUGCUUUCCUGUCCAACGAGGGCAGGAGAACCGGACUGCCCUGCAUCCAGGGGAACCCAAUCAGGUGGCUCCCUGAUGAUAGCUGUCCCUUUGGUCCCAUCUGUUUACCAGCUUGUAGAAAUUGUUCAUAUUCUAUACCUAGGGUUGGAUGUGUGUCUUAGUUUGGAAGACUUUUUAAUCUUUCUGUUCUAUCACUGAUCAUUUAAUGAAAAGCAGGAAGAGGCUGCUAGACUGAAAAGCUAUAAUUAAUUUGACUUUUAUGGUGGGAAAAUCCCAUUAAAUGACUUCUUUCCUGAUAUUAACACCUAUGCAGUAAUACAGUGUUCAGCAGCAUUAGGAGUUAAGGCUCUGGACAAGGUUUGAAUUUUGAAUUCAUUUCCUUCUGGAUCUGUUGCCUGACCUUGGCACGGCUCAUUAAUAGUAUCCUUGAGAUCAUGCUAGAAAAGCAUAAACAACUUCAAGUUCUUUUUGUUCUGACUCCAUCUGUAUAUAGUGCCUAAAUACUCAGAAAAAACCAAAACAAAUAAUUAAAAAUUCUUUGGAAACCGUCC